This 253-nucleotide ribosomal RNA is filed under the name uncultured bacterium. Its description in RNAcentral is "partial 16S ribosomal RNA". It matches the Rfam family "Bacterial small subunit ribosomal RNA", at positions 524 to 776 of the family's 1533-position model. The record is from RNAcentral.
GACGGAGGAUGCAAGCGUUAUCCGGAAUUAUUGGGCGUAAAGCGUCCGCAGGUGGUUAUACAAGUCUGCUUUCAAAGAGUGCGGCUCAACCGCAUAGAGGGAGUGGAAACUGUAUGACUAGAGUUCGGUAGGGGUAGAGGGAAUUCCAGGUGUAGCGGUGAAAUGCGUAGAUAUCUGGAAGAACACCAGUGGCGAAAGCGCUCUACUGGGCCUGAACUGACACUGAGGGACGAAAGCUAGGGGAGCGAAAGGG